This is a non-coding RNA of Betta splendens (Siamese fighting fish), 819 nucleotides long. NCBI's taxonomy places the organism in Eukaryota, Metazoa, Chordata, Actinopteri, Anabantiformes, Osphronemidae. The record is from the annotation of a RefSeq genome assembly.
GUGAAGGGGAACUGCAGUCAGUUGGAACGAGCUAUCGCUCCUAUGGUCAUGUGACUAUGCUUUAAUACACUUGUGGCAUGCGACUCUGCCUCAUUCUGCUGGAGGAGGCCUCACACUGACAUGUUUCCUGCAGCCCUUUUUUUGAUGCUUCUUCUACACUCAGGUGUCAGUGUCGUAGUCCUUCAGCCCAGAGAUCACAUCGCUCCUCCUGGAGUCACAGCGGUGCUGGAGUGCAGCCUGGGUCCAGGGGCCAGCAUGGGAAGCCAGACCAUGUACUGGUACCGACAGAACCACCACGGAGCUCCAGUGGAGUUCCUCACUAGAGAAUAUGAGCAAACCAAGGGCCGCAUCCAGUCGACUAUAGAUACAUCUAAAAACAACUUCUCUCUUCAGAUCACUGAGCUGCUCCUCAGUGACAGCAGCACCUACUACUGCGCUGCCACUCACAGUGUUUCACACAGAUCAGACCAUCAUACAAAUAUCACGCCUGCCUGUCACAGCUGGCAUCCAGGCAGGAAGGAGCUGUAGUCUGAUGAUUCCUUGAUAAGGAAAUGACAUACAGCUUGUUUAAUAAGUCAUUCUACAGAACCUUUUAAACUGAGAAUCACUUCUCCCACAUGUGCUUAUUUUUGUUGACUGUAAAUAAACGCCAAACAUAGAGAGUAACACACAGUAAUGCUACUUUAUAUGAUUUGCACAACAUAACUCUUGAUGUUGCGCUAAGUGUCCACUAGGCGACUGUACGCGUACAGAUGAACCUGCCUGAACCGAGGACCAGUAUAAAUGCUGGAAGCGACUGUGGAUGCACAGAACCGCUCU